This is a long non-coding RNA of Homo sapiens (human), 1322 nucleotides long. Ensembl annotates it as long intergenic non-protein coding RNA 445. Lineage: Eukaryota; Metazoa; Chordata; Mammalia; Primates; Hominidae. The record is from Ensembl.
GGUGAUGACCAACAGGAAUUUUAUGAGUGUCCCUCUGUGGAGGAGCCUGAGAGAAAGGCUCAUGGAGGGCAGAGGGUGGAGGGCGUGGGACCAAGUUCCUUAGAUAAGGCUGUGGCCCCAUGUGAUUCAUCCAGGUGGCGCUAGGAGGGAUCUUCGCCGCAGAGGGCAUUCGAGAGAUGACAACUCUAGACAUCCAUGCAACUUCUGUUCUUGUGCUCCUGCUGUUUUCAAAUUCCACAGUCACAGACUGCACCCUGGAAAACUCAGGACACCCUAGAGUGAACUGCUCUGAAGAACAAAGUUGCUACUUGCUUGCUACCUCUGGUUGCUACCCCUGGUUGUGUUUGGUUGCCACAUAAUGAAAUGAUUUUCCUUCCCUCUUUUAUUUCCUUUCUUUCUUUUUUUUCUGCUACAAAUGGAAAAAUAGUUUGAUCACCUUGAAUCUUUUCACCCUUGGUAUUCUCCCCCUUCACACCCGAGCACCGCCCCUUGAUAAAUGAGAACACGUGUACUGAAAUCGCAGACUUCACCCUCCAGACUCAUCGUCCUCAUGCUCUCAGGGGGGACAUGUUUCCUUUCAAACCUCCAGAAUAAAUUCAUCACAGCAGGAAGAAGAUUGUUUUUCUUAAAAAAAAUCAAAUCCUGUAUCACAAUUAUUUCAUUUCAGAGGGAAAAUGCUCCCCUUCCAUCUGAAACUUUCUUCUCUCCAGCUCUGCAGUCUUUGACCGUGGCGAUCCGGCACCCUCGGCCCGGCUGCUUUUGCAAAGUCCACACUGAUUCAUUAUUUCAGAGAGCCAAAGGGUGACACAUGCAUAUUUUGAAUAUUACCCUGUAUGUAGAUCUGCCUCUGGCUUGACUUAGGGGCUUCUAACUGCCUGAUGUAUUGGCACUCGCAUGCUUUCAAUGGUGUUUGCAUUUAAAAAAUCAUCUUCAAUUCUUUCAUUUGGAGGGUGAACUUUCUGAAAAGGAUGCUGGGAACCAUGUUAUUUCAGUGUUAUUUCUCUACUAUACCAGCCCCUUUGCAAGCAAACCCCUUUUUCCUUAAUGACAACACACAGUGACAAAUGCCCAGUGCUGUAAACGUGAAGCUCCUUGGUUUGACUGAGACGGUCUGUAGCUGACAUCGAGAAGCAGGACAUCUUCCUGAACCAAAACACCUACUCAAGAACUCCUAUAAACUUCCUUACGCUUUGUUUUAAGGAAAACCGCCUGACAAGAAGCAUACUUGCUCCUCGCUGCCAGGCAUCUUUCUGUUUAUGUAGCCUUUGUUUACAUGUAUCCCCUGUUAAUAACAAUCAAUAUUUAACAGAUGCACUCAGGCA